AUGGCCUUUAUGUCUGGGGCUACACACGUGCUACAAUGGCCGAUACAAACCGUCGCGAUACCGCAAGGUGGAGCUAAUCGGAGAAAGUCGGUCUCAGUUCGGAUUGCAGGCUGCAACUCGCCUGCAUGAAGUUGGAAUCGCUAGUAAUCGCGGAUCAGCACGCCGCGGUGAAUACGUUCCCGGGCCUUGUACACACCGCCCGUCACAUCACGAAAGCUGGCUGUACUAGAAGUCACCGCGCUAACCCGCAAGGGAGGCAAGUGCCUAAGGUAUGGUCAGUGAUUGGGGUGAAGUCGUAACAAGGUAGCUGUAGGAGAACCUGUGGCUGGAUCACCUCCUUUCUA
Molecule: ribosomal RNA, 344 nt
Filed under: Acidobacteriota bacterium
Lineage: Bacteria; Pseudomonadati; Acidobacteriota
Description: bacterial SSU rRNA
Rfam family: Bacterial small subunit ribosomal RNA
Source: RNAcentral